AUUACGAACACAAAGGGAAAGAGGAGAGGUACCCGAUAUAGGUUCUCCAGGCCUUUUAGAAAACCUGGAGUUGUUCCUUUGGCCAUGUAUAUGCGAAUCUAUAAGAAAGGUGAUAUUGUGGACACCAAGGGAACGGUACUGUUCAAAAAGGAAUGCCCCACAAGUGUCACCAUGGCAAAACUGGAAGAGUCUACAGUGUUCCCCAGCAUGCUGUUGGCAUUGUAAACAAACAAGUUCAGGGCAACAUUCUUGCCAAGACAAUUAAUGUGCGUAUUGAGCACGUUAAGCACUCUAAGAGCCGAGAUAGCUUCCUGAAACACAUGAAUGAAAAUUAUCAGAAAAAGAAAGAAGCCAGAGAAAGAUACCUGGGUUCAACCGAAGCGCCAGCCUGCUCACUUUGUGAGAACCAGUGGGAAGGACCCUGAGCUGCUGGAACCUCUUCCUUAUGAAUUCAUGGCAUAA
RNAcentral lists this long non-coding RNA (462 nucleotides) under Homo sapiens (human). RNAcentral describes it as "non-protein coding lnc-TEX44-3:1". Lineage: Eukaryota; Metazoa; Chordata; Mammalia; Primates; Hominidae. The record is from RNAcentral.